Molecule: ribosomal RNA, 468 nt
Filed under: uncultured bacterium
Lineage: Bacteria
Description: partial 16S ribosomal RNA
Rfam family: Bacterial small subunit ribosomal RNA
Source: RNAcentral
GACGAACGCUGGCGGCGUGCUUAACACAUGCAAGUCGAACGGAAAGGCCCUGCUUUUGUGGGGUUCUCGAGUGGCGAACGGGUGAGUAACACGUGUGUAACCUGCCCUUGACUUUGGUAUAACUUCAGGAAACUGGGGCUAAUCCCGGAUAGGAGCUCCUGCUGCAUGGUGGGGGUUGGAAAGUUUCGGCGGUUGGGGAUGGACUCGCGGCUUAUCAGCUUGUUGGUGGGGUAGUGGCUUACCAAGGCUUUGACGGGUAGCCGGCCUGAGAGGGUGACCGGGGACAUUGGGACUGAGAGACGGCCCAGACUCCUACGGGAGGCAGCAGGGGGGAAUAUUGCACAAUGGGCGCAAGCCUGAUGCAGCAACGCCGCGGGCGGGAUGACGGCUUUUGGGGUGUAAACAGCUUUCGCCUGUGACGAAGCGUUAGUGACGGUAAUGGGUAAAGAAGCACCGGCUAACUACGUG